RNAcentral lists this ribosomal RNA (404 nucleotides) under uncultured bacterium. RNAcentral's name for it is "bacterial SSU rRNA". It matches the Rfam family "Bacterial small subunit ribosomal RNA", at positions 355 to 775 of the family's 1533-position model. The record is from RNAcentral.
UGAGGAAUUUUCCGCAAUGGACGAAAGUCUGACGGAGCAACGCCGCGUGCAGGAUGACGGCCUUCGGGUUGUAAACUGCUUUUCUCUGGGACGAAAGAUGACGGUACCAGAGGAAUCAGCCUCGGCUAACUACGUGCCAGCAGCCGCGGUAAUACGUAGGAGGCGAGCGUUGUCCGGAGUUACUGGGCGUAAAGCGCACGCAGGCGGUCUCUCGCGUUGGCACUGACAGUUUCCAGCUCAACUGGAAAAGGCGUGCCAAGACGGAAAGACUUGAGGGCUUCAGAGGAAGAGAGAAUUCCGGGUGGAGUGGUGAAAUGCGUAGAGAUCCGGAGGAAUACCAAAGGCGAAGGCACUCUUCUGGGAAGUUCCUGACGCUGAGGUGCGAAAGCUAGGGGAGCGAACGG